Molecule: non-coding RNA, 45 nt
Filed under: Schistosoma mansoni
Lineage: Eukaryota; Metazoa; Platyhelminthes; Trematoda; Strigeidida; Schistosomatidae
Source: RNAcentral
AUCCAACUGACGAGUCCAAAAUAGGACGAAAUGCGCUUCCUGGAU